RNAcentral lists this ribosomal RNA (427 nucleotides) under uncultured bacterium. Its description in RNAcentral is "bacterial SSU rRNA". It matches the Rfam family "Bacterial small subunit ribosomal RNA", at positions 356 to 775 of the family's 1533-position model. The record is from RNAcentral.
GAGGAAUUUUGCGCAAUAGGGGAAACCCUGACGCAGCAACGCCGCGUGAGCGAAGAAGGCCUUCGGGUCGUAAAGCUCUGUCAAGUGGGAAAAAAGCUUGCCGGUAAACAGCCGGUAAGACUGAUGGUACCGCUGAAGGAAGCACCGGCUAACUCCGUGCCAGCAGCCGCGGUAAUACGGAGGGUGCAAGCGUUGUUCGGAAUUACUGGGCGUAAAGGGCGUGUAGGCGGCGUGGUAUGUCAGAUGUGAAAGCCCUGGGCUUAACCCAGGAAGUGCAUUUGAAACUGCCAUGCUUGAGUAUGGGAGAGGAGAGUGGAAUUCCCAGUGUAGAGGUGAAAUUCGUAGAUAUUGGGAGGAACACCCGUGGCGAAGGCGACUCUCUGGACCAAUACUGACGCUGAGGCGCGAAAGCGUGGGGAGCAAACAG